Molecule: unclassified non-coding RNA, 259 nt
Filed under: Hevea brasiliensis (rubber tree)
Lineage: Eukaryota; Viridiplantae; Streptophyta; Magnoliopsida; Malpighiales; Euphorbiaceae
Source: RNAcentral
AGCAGGCAAAUCUAGCAUGCUCAACACUUUAUUUCGAAUUGUGGAACUAGAAAGAGGAAGAAUCUUGAUUGACGGUUGUGAUAUUGCAAAGUUUGGUUUGAUGGAUCUACGCAAAGUACUUGGUAUUAUACCACAAUCACCGGUUCUUUUUUCAGGUACACUCUCUCUAUAAUCUUAGUUUCAAUCAUGAUCAUAAGACUAUGAUUAGUUAACUUCCAUUUUUUUUUAUUUUGUCUAGGAACUGUGAGGUUUAAUCUUG